Molecule: transfer RNA, 69 nt
Filed under: Rattus norvegicus (Norway rat)
Lineage: Eukaryota; Metazoa; Chordata; Mammalia; Rodentia; Muridae
Rfam family: tRNA
About the family: Transfer RNA (tRNA) molecules are approximately 80 nucleotides in length. Their secondary structure includes four short double-helical elements and three loops (D, anti-codon, and T loops). Further hydrogen bonds mediate the characteristic L-shaped molecular structure. tRNAs have two regions of fundamental functional importance: the anti-codon, which is responsible for specific mRNA codon recognition, and the 3' end, to which the tRNAs corresponding amino acid is attached (by aminoacyl-tRNA synthetases). tRNAs cope with the degeneracy of the genetic code in two manners: having more than one tRNA (with a specific anti-codon) for a particular amino acid; and 'wobble' base-pairing, i.e. permitting non-standard base-pairing at the 3rd anti-codon position.
Source: Rfam by way of RNAcentral
GGGGGUUUAGCUCAGUGGUAGAGUGCUUGCCUAGCAAGUGCAAGGCCCUGGGUUCGGUUCCCAGCUCCG